RNAcentral lists this ribosomal RNA (508 nucleotides) under uncultured bacterium. Its description in RNAcentral is "bacterial SSU rRNA". It matches the Rfam family "Bacterial small subunit ribosomal RNA", at positions 17 to 518 of the family's 1533-position model. The record is from RNAcentral.
AUAUGGCUCAGGAUGAACGCUAGCGGCAGGCUAACACAUGCAAGUCGAGGGGCAUCGGGAGUAGCAAUACUGCCGGCGACCGGCGCAAGGGUGCGUAACGCGUGAGCAACAUGCCCGUAUCAGGGGGGAUAAUCCAUGGAAACGUGGUCUAAUACCCCAUAGUAAUUAUGUAAGGCAUCUUAUAUAAUUUAAAGCUUUGGUGGAUACGGAUUGGCUCGCGUGACAUUAGCUGGAUGGUAAGGUAACGGCUUACCAUGGCUACGAUGUCUAGGGGUUCUGAGAGGAAGGUCCCCCCACACUGGAACUGAGACACGGUCCAGACUCCUACGGGAGGCAGCAGUGAGGAAUAUUGGACAAUGGAUGGAAAUCUGAUCCAGCCAUGCCGCGUGCAAGGGAAGACGGCCCUAUGGGUUGUAAACUGCUUUUGUAUGGGAGCAAUAAGGGCUACGUGUAGUCCGAUGAGAGUACCAUACGAAUAAGCACCGGCUAACUCCGUGCCAGCCGCUGC